RNAcentral lists this long non-coding RNA (3098 nucleotides) under Capra hircus (goat). RNAcentral's name for it is "lncRNA (ENSCHIG00010028700.1)". The record is from RNAcentral. Lineage: Eukaryota; Metazoa; Chordata; Mammalia; Artiodactyla; Bovidae.
GGCAGAACUAGGAACUGGCUCAGGAAUGGAUGAGAAACAAGCACCCCUUUGCUCCCAGGAUGUGAGGAGAAGAUGAUCCUUGAAAUGGUGAGAGGCCCCGAUCCUGUUAUUACAAAGGAUGGGGGUUCAAGCCACUCUUUGUAACGUUAAGUACAGGUGAAAGCAGGGGCUGCAGGCUCUGCAGACCCCUGGGUGACAGUUACAGCACCAAGGAGUAACAGGUGGAGAUCAAGAGCACAAGCUCAGGUUCUGGAGUCAGGCUCACCUUGGUUCAGUUUUCAGCCAACUGGUGGGAACACCUACCCUGUGACCUCAGACAAAUUACCUAAUCUUUCCUAGGCAUCAGUUUUCUCAUCUAUAAAAGAGAAAUAACCAGAACAAUACCCUAAGCAUGACCUGUUGUUACACUGUGUUCGUUAAAAGAAGGACCCCAAGGCACAGCAGCGUCAGACACCCUUCAGUGUGGCUGCUGGUUAGACCAGGGGUGUUUCCAGCGACUAUGCAUUUGCCCAACAGCAGCCCAAGCAAAACUGUUCCCAGGGCUCUCGUGUCUGUGCCUCACUUGACCCUUGGCUCCUGACUGAGCCUGUUUCCCCAGCCUUCAGUGGGUUCUCGGAGCUACCGCAUCAGCUCCUUGUCUGUUGUCAGUUUCUGUUGCUGGUGACCAACAGCACUGAGGCAUACAGGAGGGCUUCAGAAGAAUCUGGUAGCAGUGUUCACCUCUGGGAGAGGGGAUGCAUUUUUCAUCGCGUACUGCUUUAUGUUUGGUUCUUUUAACCAUGUGCAUUCACUACUCUUUCAAAUUAAAAAUAGUUUAAAGGAGUAUCAUUUAAAUGAAUCUACUGUUUACAGUGUCCCAACAGAGCAUCAUCUGGACAAGAAAACUGUGGACUUGAGUACAGUAGUAGCAGCAGGUGCAGGAUGGAAGGUUAAGUUUUGCUCUCUAACCUUGGCUCAUAUCCUCUUGCAGGCGAGAGAGUCUGAACCUGGAGUGUUGGGGCCAGAAUUCGAGAGGCAUUCGAUUCAUCCAACCAACCAGAUGUGCUUGCUGUCCAAGCGGUGAGUGCAAGUGGCUGCAGUGAGAAAACUGAACAAGAGAUGCCCCUGCCCUCCAGGAGGACACAGACCACAGGACUUAGCAAAGAUUUGCUCUCAAAGGAAUGUUCACGGAGUGCAGUGAGGACAACAUCUGAAGACGUGAGUUUUUAAAAUUGCCAAAACUGUAGCUAUUGUCAGCAAAAUGUAGACUGUGAAAGAAAACUCUAUAGAACAAAAACAACAACAAAACCUGAGUUUUCAUUAAAGAAAUUGCAAGGGGAAAGAAGAGGUGGAGAGAAAUCUAGAAAUUAAGAGAGACUGAUAAGGCAUAACAACCAAUUGUAAUGUAAGGACCUUAUUUGAAUCAUAAUUUAAGCCAAUGAUUACUGAAAAUUCUAACAUUUAAAAAUCAGAAAUUGACAUGCUGGGUAUUUGAUGAUGUUGAGAAAUUAUCGUUAAUAUCUUAGGUGAGGGUACUGAGAUUAUUUAUGGUUGAUGAAAUAGUACGUCUUGGACUUGUUUUAGAACAAUGUGAGGGGGUAAGUGGAUGGGGAUGUAGAUGAGUCAUGAUUGGCCAAGGACUGGUCUUACUGGGACUCUGCCUAUGGAGUCAUUAUAUUUUUAUGUAUUUGUUUUGUGUGUGUUGAACACUUCUGUUAAGAUUUGCUUAUUUUUUAAUCACCAGGAAAGGUAGAGAGGUGAUGAAAAUCGUGCAGUUCUCUGCCUGCAGAGAGGCUCAAGUUCAGCACGAGACUCUCCUUAGAUCCUCCCUUACUUUGGUCACAUGUGCAGGACCAUGCUUCUCAUUUCAUGUCAUUUCCUUGGCCUGGGGAUUCUGGUUCUUUUUCUGGGCAUGGUGAGAGAUUUUGAACUGCUCUAGCUGCCUUUGGGAGGGAGACAGACCACAUUAGCCUCCUUAGCCCAGGACUCCACUCUCGGGGCUGGACCUUCAGCUACAGAUUGACAUCCACCUGCAGGACCUAGGGGCAAGCCAGCCUGCGGAAGGGCCAGAUGGUCUAGAAGCAGUAGGAAGGGAGCAGCUCACUUUCUGCUGGGCGUGAGGAGGCUUCUCAGGAAAUGUUCAAAUCCUAAAGCAAACUAGAACCAUUUGGAUGCCCCAAAAUAUGUGACGCUGUCCCUCCUUGCUUUCUCUGGAUGUUUCUCUCUCUCUGGGGACAUGCUUUCCCAUAUUUCUUCCUCUCUUCUGUCACCCCAGUCUGUACCAACAUUCCUACAUUCCAAGUUCUCCAUAAUUUGGCACCUGAGUCUACCCUGGACAGGAACAGAUAGGCAGAAAUAGCAAUGCAAUACCAUGUGGGGACUAUCGGGUUGGUCAGGGUGUUUUAGAUGAUAAUUAAUGCCCAAUGUUAGUGAAGGUGCUGGGAAGGAGACAUGGCACCCCCUCUUGGAAGGGCAAUCUGCCACUUGGUAUCUAAAGCUUUAAAAAUGUGCAUAUCUUUUGCCACAGUAUUUCUCCUUCUGGGAAUUUAUCCUACAGGAAUUAGCUAUGCACAAAAUUAAUGUGUGAGAAUGUUCCUGAUUGAACUAUUAGGGAAAAAAAAAAAAUUUGUGAACAACCUACAUAUCCAGCGACAAAGGACUAUCUAACUCCUGUUAAAGCCAGGCAGUGGAGUACCAUGGAGACAUCAAAAUCAUGUCUUAGUUGCAUAUUUAAGACCAGGGAAACAUUCAUACUAUAUUAAAUAGAAAAGCAGAUUAUCGAACCGUAUAUAUCCUAUGAUGGUAACCAUUCAAAGGCAAAAAAACAAUAUAUACCAAAGCAUUGUCUGUGAUUUCUGAAUUACAAGAUUAGGUACAAUACUAAUAUAAUUUUAAUAUGCUUCUUUGUAAUUCUCUGCUUUUUCCAAUAUUUUUUCCACUGCUUACUUUUUAAAUCAGGGGAGGAAAAACCACCUCACUUUAUUUACCAAAAGAAGUAAAACAAGUACAGAGCAAAGUAAAUGUUUGUGGCUGUCUUCUCCCAUCUCACUACCCAUCAGACUGAAGGACCAUAUCUACAAAUGACAACACUUAGAAUAAUAAUUAUAGCAAACGCUCCC